RNAcentral lists this ribosomal RNA (460 nucleotides) under uncultured bacterium. RNAcentral describes it as "partial 16S ribosomal RNA". It matches the Rfam family "Bacterial small subunit ribosomal RNA", at positions 338 to 795 of the family's 1533-position model. The record is from RNAcentral.
CCUACGGGUGACAGCAGUGAGGAAUAUUGGUCAAUGGACGAGAGUCUGAACCAGCCAUGCCGCGUGCAGGAUGACGGCUCUAUGAGUUGUAAACUUCUUUUAUACGGGGGUAAUAUCAGCUACGUGUAUCUUUUUGUAUGUAUCGUACGAAUAAGGAUCGGCUAACUCCGUGCCAGCAGCCGCGGUAAUACGGAGGAUCCAAGCGUUAUCCGGAUUUAUUGGGUUUAAAGGGUGCGUAGGUGGGUUUAUAAGUUAGUUGUGAAAAUUUGGGGCUCAACUCCAGAAGUGCCGUUGAUACUGGAAGACUAGAGAAUAGUAGAGGUAGGCGGAAUGUAUGGUGUAGCGGUGAAAUGCGUAGAGAUCAUACAGAACACCGAUUGCGAAGGCAGCUUACCAAACUACAUCUGACGCUGAGGCACGAAAGCGUGGGGAGCAAACAGGAUUAGAUACCCGAGUAGUC